Molecule: ribosomal RNA, 214 nt
Filed under: uncultured Dinobryon
Lineage: Eukaryota; Chrysophyceae; Chromulinales
Description: partial Eukaryotic large subunit ribosomal RNA
Rfam family: Eukaryotic large subunit ribosomal RNA
Source: RNAcentral
CGAGAUUACCCGCUGAACUUAAGCAUAUCACUAAGCGCAGGAUCAAAAAUAACUAUGAUUGCCUCAGUAGCGGCGAGCGAAGCGGCAAGAGCCCAAGAUGAAAAUUCCUGUCCUUUGGACUUGAAGAAUUGUAAUCUACAGGACGAUCGCUGACAGGCUCCCUGAAGCCCAAGUGUCUUGGAAUAGACUGCCAUGGAGGGUGAAAGCCCCGUAC